GCAAUAAUUCCCUUAAGGGUCGAUUGACCAUUUUGAUCAUGCUGACUUACAAACAACGGGUUGUAACUUGCCUGAUUGGUCUGAAAAUUUCAGGGCAGAUUGACCUUGACCUAAUAAACAAAUUCAUUCCCGUCAAAUUUGUUCUCCAUGCUUUGGUUUCUGAGAUAUGAGCCAAAAACUGCAUGUACUAUUUUAGCCAUGUUGCCCAUAUUGGUUCGCAGGCAGGGUCAUCGGGCACAUUUUUUCAACUAGAAACCCUAAUGAUGAUUGUGGACAAGUUUGAUUAAAUUUGUUUUAAUAGUUUCAAGAG
Molecule: long non-coding RNA, 310 nt
Filed under: Mytilus galloprovincialis (Mediterranean mussel)
Lineage: Eukaryota; Metazoa; Mollusca; Bivalvia; Mytilida; Mytilidae
Source: RNAcentral